CCUACGGGGUGCAGCAGUGGGGAAUAUUGGGCAAUGGGCGCAAGCCUGACCCAGCAAUGCCGCGUGAAGGAAGAAGGCUUUCGGGUUGUAAACUUCUUUGACAGGGGAAGAGCAGAAGACGGUACCCUGAAAACAAGCCACGGCUAACUACGUGCCAGCAGCCGCGGUAAUACGUAGGUGGCCAGCGUUGUCCGGAUUUACUGGGUGUAAAGGGCGUGUAGCCGGGAAGGCAAGUCAGAUGUGAAAUCUGGAGGCUCAACCUCCAAAUUGCAUUUGAAACUGUUUUUCUUGAGUACUGGAGAGGCAGACGGAAUUCCUUGUGUAGCGGUGAAAUGCGUAGAUAUAAGGAGGAACACCAGUGGCGAAGGCGGUCUGCUGGACAGCAACUGACGGUGAGGCGCGAAAGCGUGGGGAGCAAACAGGAUUAGAUACCCCGGUAGUC
This 442-nucleotide ribosomal RNA is filed under the name uncultured bacterium. RNAcentral describes it as "partial 16S ribosomal RNA". It matches the Rfam family "Bacterial small subunit ribosomal RNA", at positions 338 to 795 of the family's 1533-position model. The record is from RNAcentral.